This 861-nucleotide ribosomal RNA is filed under the name Acinetobacter sp. TYRH49. Its description in RNAcentral is "bacterial SSU rRNA". It matches the Rfam family "Bacterial small subunit ribosomal RNA", at positions 61 to 916 of the family's 1533-position model. The record is from RNAcentral. Lineage: Bacteria; Pseudomonadati; Pseudomonadota; Gammaproteobacteria; Moraxellales; Moraxellaceae.
GUCGAGCGGAGAUGAGGUGCUUGCACCUUAUCUUAGCGGCGGACGGGUGAGUAAUGCUUAGGAAUCUGCCUAUUAGUGGGGGACAACAUUCCGAAAGGAAUGCUAAUACCGCAUACGUCCUACGGGAGAAAGCAGGGGAUCUUCGGACCUUGCGCUAAUAGAUGAGCCUAAGUCGGAUUAGCUAGUUGGUGGGGUAAAGGCCUACCAAGGCGACGAUCUGUAGCGGGUCUGAGAGGAUGAUCCGCCACACUGGGACUGAGACACGGCCCAGACUCCUACGGGAGGCAGCAGUGGGGAAUAUUGGACAAUGGGGGGAACCCUGAUCCAGCCAUGCCGCGUGUGUGAAGAAGGCCUUAUGGUUGUAAAGCACUUUAAGCGAGGAGGAGGCUACUGAGACUAAUACUCUUGGAUAGUGGACGUUACUCGCAGAAUAAGCACCGGCUAACUCUGUGCCAGCAGCCGCGGUAAUACAGAGGGUGCGAGCGUUAAUCGGAUUUACUGGGCGUAAAGCGUGCGUAGGCGGCUUUUUAAGUCGGAUGUGAAAUCCCCGAGCUUAACUUGGGAAUUGCAUUCGAUACUGGGAAGCUAGAGUAUGGGAGAGGAUGGUAGAAUUCCAGGUGUAGCGGUGAAAUGCGUAGAGAUCUGGAGGAAUACCGAUGGCGAAGGCAGCCAUCUGGCCUAAUACUGACGCUGAGGUACGAAAGCAUGGGGAGCAAACAGGAUUAGAUACCCUGGUAGUCCAUGCCGUAAACGAUGUCUACUAGCCGUUGGGGCCUUUGAGGCUUUAGUGGCGCAGCUAACGCGAUAAGUAGACCGCCUGGGGAGUACGGUCGCAAGACUAAAACUCAAAUGAAUUGACGG